RNAcentral lists this ribosomal RNA (506 nucleotides) under uncultured bacterium. RNAcentral's name for it is "partial 16S ribosomal RNA". It matches the Rfam family "Bacterial small subunit ribosomal RNA", at positions 28 to 507 of the family's 1533-position model. The record is from RNAcentral.
GACGAACGCUGGCGGCGUGCUUAACACAUGCAAGUCGAACGGUGAAGGGACUGGUUUUGCUGGUCCUGGAUGAGUGGCGAACGGGUGAGUAACACGUGAGUAACCUGCCCCCUUCUUCUGGAUAACCGCAUGAAAGUGUGGCUAAUACGGGAUAUUCUGGGUCUGUCGCAUGGUGGGCCUGGGAAAGAUUGCGCCUUUUUUGGUGUUUUUGGUGGGGGAUGGGCUCGCGGCCUAUCAGCUUGUUGGUGGGGUGAUGGCCUACCAAGGCGGUGACGGGUAGCCGGCCUGAGAGGGUGGACGGUCACACUGGGACUGAGACACGGCCCAGACUCCGACGGGAGGCAGCAGUGGGGAAUAUUGCACAAGGGGCGCAAGCCUGAUGCAGCGACGCCGCGUGAGGGAUGGAGGCCUUCGGGUUGUGAACCUCUUUCGCCAGUGAAGCAGGCCUGCCUCUUUUUGUGGGUGGGUUGACGGUAGCUGGAUAAGAAGCGCCGGCUAACUACGUG